This 279-nucleotide long non-coding RNA is filed under the name Prunus persica (peach). RNAcentral's name for it is "long non-coding RNA (PPER_LNC005389)". Lineage: Eukaryota; Viridiplantae; Streptophyta; Magnoliopsida; Rosales; Rosaceae. The record is from RNAcentral.
CUUAUAAAUCCUCCAAAAGCUAAGAGCCAAUCAAUUUCCCAAAUGGCUUCCAAGGCUCUAGCUUCCACUGCUCUCCUCCUCUCCCUUAACCUCCUCUUCUUCACUUUGGUCACCUCCACCAAUGUUGCUUGCCCACCACCUCAGAAAAAGGGUCAUAAACACCAGCCCAAGCAUGCAAGUCCUGCACUACCCAACCCUAACCCCUCUAAGCCUGCCACGUGCCCCAAAGACACAUUGAAAUUGGGGGCAUGUGCUGACUUGUUGAAUGGUUUGGUGCAC